GAACAGGUGCUGGUGGUGGAGAUGAAACUGGAACUGGUGCUGCUGGUGGUGUAGCAGCAACAGGUGGUGGUGUAGCAGCAACAGGUGGUGGUGUAGAAGCAACAGGUGGUGGUGUAGAAGCAACAGGUGGUGGUGUAGAAGCAACAGGUGGUGUUGCAACUGGUGCUAUUGGUGUUGUUGUUGGUGGUGCAGAAACUGGUGUUGCAACUUGUGGUGGUGUUGAAACAACUGGUGUUGGUGGUGCUGCAGUUGGUGCUUUAACUGGAGAUGUAGAUUUUGUCGGUGGUGGAGUAGUGGUUGUAGCAGGUGGAGAUGCGGUUGGUGCAGUUGGUGUAGGUUGAGUAGUUGGUGCUGCUCCCGGAGCUUGACCGCCG
RNAcentral lists this long non-coding RNA (374 nucleotides) under Aquilegia coerulea. RNAcentral describes it as "long non-coding RNA (ACOE_LNC001736)". Lineage: Eukaryota; Viridiplantae; Streptophyta; Magnoliopsida; Ranunculales; Ranunculaceae. The record is from RNAcentral.